CAGAAACAACAGGACAGACUUUGUUCUCCUUCAGAGCUGCCAGAGCUGGACAUGACAUCACUUUGUCUUGUGAAAAUGUGAUAGAUGGUCAACAUGACUGCAGCUAUACUAACUGGAUGUUCACUGAUUCAAGACAGACACCAGCAGUAGAGCUGGUUGUUCAUGGACAGAUUAAUGAAAAUGCUAAAGCUGAAUACACCAGACUGAGUGUUACAGCGAACUGUUCUCUGCUUAUAAAGAAGGUACAAGCUGAGGAUGUUGGUCGUUACACCUGCACACAGUACAAAACAAGAGGAGGACAAGAAGAAGUGACUGAACAUGAGAACAACAAUAAAGUCAUUGUGAACUGCUCUGUGCUGACACAUGAACACUGUAGACACACAGUGGAGUGGCUGCAUGAGGGUGAAAAGAAAAUAUCAGACGAGGAGAUAAAACCAGGUUUCUGCUCUGUGACUGUGACAUUUAAAAGAUCUCACCGUGAUCAGAAGUCACAGUUUUAUAAUUCAUUGAAGUGCAAAGUGACAGAUAAACACACUAAAGAAGAACAACUGUUUCUCUUCAAACUCAAGUCCUCAGGUGAGAAAACAGGUGAAAACACAAAAUCAACGACUGCAAAAUUUACCUCAACAACAAGAACAACAACAGCAAUGAGAUCAACAACAACAAUGAGAUCAACAACAACAAUGAGAUCAACAACAACAAUGAGAUCAACAACAACAAUGAGAUCAACAACAACAAUGAGAACAACAACAACAACAACAACAAUGAGAUCAACAACAACAAUGAGAACAACAACAACAACAAUGAGAACAACAAAAUCUUCUCUAGAAUCAAAAAAAUCCUCACAAGGUUUGUUAUUAUGGCUCAUUAUCCUUCCCGUUGGUUUAUCAGCACUCUUAAUAAUUGUUGUGGUCAUAAGAUGGAAGAAACAUAAAGGUAAAAGCAUCCUCAGAUUAUAGUUUAACAUAAUAUAACUAAUGUUAAGAAUGUGAAAAUGGUGAAUUGAAGAGAUUUCUUAUUUUGUAGAUUGGGAUCGUUAGCAAACAGGCAAAAAAUGGAUUUUUAAUGUGGAACUAAUCGCAGUGGGGUUUUUUUUUUUUUUUUUCUUUUUCAGGAAAAGAAGGGCAGCUGGCCGGCAACACUGUGAGUUCAAAUAGUUCCAUUGUUUCAUAUGAGAUUGAGCUAAUAAACCUUUAGAGGUGACUUCAUGCCUCUAAAUGACUAAAUAAAAUACAGGAUUUACCAUCAGAAACAGAACAGCUGACAAAGCUGCAAGUGAGCUGAAUCAGCUCCUCACUGACAAUGUUUAACUAUUUAAGUAACAUUUAGAUCUUUACACAGUUACUCUUCUGUUUGUGAGCAGGGACUGAGCUUAAACGCUGCAGAGACUCAGUCUGGACCAGGAACCAAUCAAACCAGGGCUGGAGCUGAUGAUGGUGUUUCCUACGUCUCCAUCAGCUUGCCCAAGAGGACCAGGAGUAAAACCCGGUCCCGUGGUCAUGAUGAAGGUGACACUGUGACCUACAGCACAGUGAAAGCUGUUUCCUCUUCUGCUGGAGAUGAUCCCAACCACCUCUAUUCCACCAUCAAUGAUGUAAAGAAGUAGGAUGAUGCUCAUGAAAAGAGAUAUGGUAGAUGCUGUUUCACUUUUUAGAUGAGAGAGUGAAUGUGAAAAGUCAUGGGUUAUUUUUUUUUGUCUUACGUAUUGGUUGUUUUGAACUAAUAACAUAAUAUUGUUUUGGUAAAUGGACUUAUAUAACACUUUUAUAUAGCUACUCUUUCAGAGCACUCAAAGUGCUUUAUACAACAAAUUCAUUCACCCAAGCAGUUAAGUGCUCCCUAUCUAACAUUAAUACUCAUUCACACUCCGAUGGAAGCAUCGGAGAGCAACAUGGGGUUAGUAUCUUGCCCAAGAAUAUUUGGCAUGCAGACUGGAGCAGACUGGGAUCAAACCACCACCCUUCUGGUUAGUAGCUGACCUGCUCUAACACCUGAGCUACAGACACCAAACUGAAAAUCAUUUAUGUUUCAAAAACAGACAUGUUACCACACAUAUAUAUUUCUGUUUUGACCUAAACUGUUUCUGCCAGAGGGGUAUGUGUUGACGUUUUAUUCCAAGAAACCUUUUCUGUUUGCUGCUGCUCAUAAAAGUUUAGCUGAUAGCGUCCUAUCACAGUACAUGACAUCAUUACUGUCUAAGGCGCAGCUUCAAAUGCAUCCUGAACAGUGCGGACAAAAAUUAGAAAUAAGAAAAAGUACUAAUAAAUUUUUUUUUGCCACUGUAAAUAAAUGCUUUAAAUAAAGGAUCCAGAUACUUUCUUCAUUUUAAGAAGAAACCACUUUAGAGCCUGUGUCAUUUUGUUAUAAUUGCACAUAUUGAAGUGUUCACUGAAAAAAGAUAAUGUUGGAUUUAUUUAAUUUAAUAGUGGACAUUGGAUAAACACAG
Molecule: long non-coding RNA, 2446 nt
Organism: Astatotilapia calliptera (eastern happy)
Lineage: Eukaryota; Metazoa; Chordata; Actinopteri; Cichliformes; Cichlidae
Source: Ensembl